CCAACGGCUCUUUUAAGAGCCAUUCAAAAUUGUCUUGAAAGGGUUG
Ophiophagus hannah (king cobra) is the source of this 46-nucleotide regulatory RNA element. It matches the Rfam family "Histone 3' UTR stem-loop". From Rfam's summary of the family: The mRNAs of metazoan histone genes lack a poly-A tail. 3' end processing occurs at a site between a highly conserved stem-loop (modelled by this family) and a purine rich region around 20 nts downstream (the histone downstream element, or HDE). The stem-loop is bound by a 31 kDa stem-loop binding protein (SLBP - also termed the histone hairpin binding protein, or HBP). The record is from Rfam. NCBI's taxonomy places the organism in Eukaryota, Metazoa, Chordata, Lepidosauria, Squamata, Elapidae.